Molecule: ribosomal RNA, 424 nt
Filed under: Salmonella enterica subsp. enterica serovar Infantis
Lineage: Bacteria; Pseudomonadati; Pseudomonadota; Gammaproteobacteria; Enterobacterales; Enterobacteriaceae
Also listed under: 1 other name
Description: bacterial SSU rRNA
Rfam family: Bacterial small subunit ribosomal RNA
Source: RNAcentral
AAAUUGAAGAGUUUGAUCAUGGCUCAGAUUGAACGCUGGCGGCAGGCCUAACACAUGCAAGUCGAACGGUAGCACAGAGAGCUUGCUCUCGGGUGACGAGUGGCGGACGGGUGAGUAAUGUCUGGGAAACUGCCUGAUGGAGGGGGAUAACUACUGGAAACGGUGGCUAAUACCGCAUAACGUCGCAAGACCAAAGAGGGGGACCUUCGGGCCUCUUGCCAUCAGAUGUGCCCAGAUGGGAUUAGCUUGUUGGUGAGGUAACGGCUCACCAAGGCGACGAUCCCUAGCUGGUCUGAGAGGAUGACCAGCCACACUGGAACUGAGACACGGUCCAGACUCCUACGGGAGGCAGCAGUGGGGAAUAUUGCACAAUGGGCGCAAGCCUGAUGCAGCCAUGCCGCGUGUAUGAAGAAGGCCUUCGGGU